GACGAACGCUGGCGGCGUGCUUAACACAUGCAAGUCGAACGAUGAAGCUAGAGCUUGCUCUGGUGAAUUAGUGGCGAACGGGUGAGUAACACGUGAGUAACCUGCCCCGAACUCUGGGAUAACUGCUGGAAACGGUAGCUAAUACUGGAUACGACCUACGAAGGCAUCUUCUGUAGGUGGAAAGAAUUUCGGUUCGGGAUGGACUCGCGGCCUAUCAGCUUGUUGGUGAGGUAAUGGCUCACCAAGGCGACGACGGGUAGCCGGCCUGAGAGGGAGACCGGCCACACUGGGACUGAGACACGGCCCAGACUCCUACUGGAGGCAGCAGUGGGGAAUAUUGCACAAUGGGCGCAAGCCUGAUGCAGCAACGCCGCGUGAGGGAUGACGGCCUUCGGGUUGUAAACCUCUUUUAGUAGGGAAGAAGCGAAAGUGACGGUACCUGCAGAAAAAGCACCGGCUAACUACGUGCCAGCCGCCGCAGUAA
RNAcentral lists this ribosomal RNA (484 nucleotides) under uncultured bacterium. Its description in RNAcentral is "partial 16S ribosomal RNA". It matches the Rfam family "Bacterial small subunit ribosomal RNA", at positions 28 to 523 of the family's 1533-position model. The record is from RNAcentral.